Molecule: ribosomal RNA, 420 nt
Filed under: uncultured bacterium
Lineage: Bacteria
Description: bacterial SSU rRNA
Rfam family: Bacterial small subunit ribosomal RNA
Source: RNAcentral
UGGGGGAUAUUGCACAAUGGGGGAAACCCUGAUGCAGCGACGCCGCGUGAAGGAAGAAGGCCUUCGGGUUGUAAACUUCUGUCGGUACGGGACGAUAAUGACGGUCACCGAUAACCAAGAAAGGCCAACGGCUAACUACGUGCCAGCAGCCGCGUAAAACGUAGGUGGCAAGCGUUGUCCGGAAUUACUGGGUGUAAAGGGAGCGCAGGCGGACUAGCAAGCUGGAAGUGAAAUCUAUGGGCUCAACCCAUAAAUUGCUUUCAAAACUGCCGGUCUUGAGUAGUGCAGAGGUAGGCGGAAUUCCCGGUGUAGCGGUGGAAUGCGUAGAUAUCGGGAGGAACACCAGUGGCGAAGGCGGCCUACUGGGCACCAACUGACGCUGAGGCUCGAAAGUAUGGGUAGCAAACAGGAUUAGAUACC